Molecule: long non-coding RNA, 930 nt
Filed under: Homo sapiens (human)
Lineage: Eukaryota; Metazoa; Chordata; Mammalia; Primates; Hominidae
Description: HSALNT0381702
Source: RNAcentral
GAGUAUGCCUGUAAUCCCAGCUACUCAGGAGGCUGAGAUGGAAAAAGAAUCGCAAAUAAGCAUAAUGUGAAGAGCAUGAGCUUUGGAAUAAGCAAGCCUGGAAUUACAAUUUUCUUUUAUUAGCUCUGUGGCUGUAAUACUCAACUUUUGCAAGCUUCAGUUUCCUCGUCUGUGAAAUGGAAUAAUAGCACUUACCUCAUUGGCUGUUGUAUGGAUUAAAUGAGACCAUGACUAUGGAUGUAUGGCAUUUGGUACCCAAUAACCCCUCAAUAAUCGGCAGCUAUAAUUAUUCAUAAUAAUAAUGGUGGUAGCAACAAACCCAGCCCAAACAUCUGAAGGACCGAUCACUAAAAAGAAGAUGAACUCAGUCCUACGUAGUAACAAGAAUGUGACAUCUAUGUUGUUGCCAAAAGUCUGGAGGAGUUGCCAGGACCAGAGAGAAGGAGGUGGUGAGGCCGGCCUGGAAGAGGGAGGGGACAGAUGUCAAGGACCCCAAUCUUGAGGUGGAAAGUUCUGUGAUUAACCCAGAUGAAUGUCUCUAACCUCCAACUCUUCUGUUCUCAGAGUUUUAAUGGGGCACACCGUGUGCUGGGCAUUGACAUAGAUGGGAAAAGCAUGACCUAAAAUAAGGGCUGGAAGCCAAGACUGGGAGGAAGGGCAAAGGGAGCAGGCAGCCUGGCACCAGGUACCAGUGAGGUGUCUGCUCUUUGUCCCCAUCACCUGUCAGCUAAGGAAUUCUGCAUGUCAUCAGUGCAAUAAAAUGUGAUCGCCAGAGUGAAAACCUUGUAAUAGACCAGCUGUGGCUUCUCUCAACACCAGUAUGUCCAAGGAGGAUGCAUUUUUAUUGCUUUUGUGGUCUUAACAAAAAAGAUUCAUGAGCAUUGUAUAAAAGGCAUAUUAAAACAAUUCGGUAAAAGGAUGAAAGAAAAA